UACGAACUGUGCGAACGUUAUUCGGAAUCACUGGGCUUACAGGGUGCGUAGGCGGCCUGUUAAGUAGGGUGUGAAAUCCCCCGGCUCAACCGGGGAAUGGCGCCCUAAACUAGCGGGCUCGAGUGAGGCAGGGGUGUGUGGAACUCUCGGUGGAGCGGUGAAAUGUGUUGAUAUCGAGAGGAACGCCGGUGGCGAAAGCGACACACUGGGUCUUGUCUGACGCUGAGGCACGAAAGCCAGGGGAGCGAACGGG
RNAcentral lists this ribosomal RNA (253 nucleotides) under uncultured bacterium. RNAcentral describes it as "partial 16S ribosomal RNA". It matches the Rfam family "Bacterial small subunit ribosomal RNA", at positions 524 to 776 of the family's 1533-position model. The record is from RNAcentral.